Molecule: non-coding RNA, 64 nt
Filed under: unclassified sequences
Source: RNAcentral
GUUGUAAUGCGGCUUGCCAUAGGUUUGGCAAACGGUCACAAGCCCGUAAAACGCAGAGUGCAAA